UUUCCGUAGGUGAACCUGCGGAAGGAUCAUUGCACACACAAAGUUGCAGCAAACCCUUUGCGAAUCAAAACAACCGUCCCCUCCUCUUUGGUCUUGGUGGAAAUUGGGCCACUUUACUGUGUCCCGGUCUCUCCUUGGCCAAGGGGGAACCCAAGUCCCUCCCUCCCUUCCCCGGAAGGCAGUGAGUGUGGCUUGGCAACCACAACCGAUUGCGCAAUGCAUCAACACUUUCAAUAUGACUGAGUAUAAAAAUUUCGGCGCCUUCGGCGCCCGAGUUGUAAUAAACAAAAACAACUCUCAGCAACGGAUAUCUUGGCUCUU
RNAcentral lists this unclassified non-coding RNA (321 nucleotides) under soil metagenome. Its description in RNAcentral is "partial contains small subunit ribosomal RNA, internal transcribed spacer 1, and 5.8S ribosomal RNA". The record is from RNAcentral.